GGCGAUUGGGCCCGAGUUUGAUCCUGGCUCAGAGCGAACGCUGGCGGCAGGCUUAACACAUGCAAGUCGAGCGGGCGUAGCAAUACGUCAGCGGCAGACGGGUGAGUAACGCGUGGGAACGUACCUUUUGGUUCGGAACAACACAGGGAAACUUGUGCUAAUACCGGAUAAGCCCUUACGGGGAAAGAUUUAUCGCCGAAAGAUCGGCCCGCGUCUGAUUAGCUUGUUGGUGAGGUAACGGCUCACCAAGGCAACGAUGGGUAGCUGGUCUGAGAGGACGAUCAGCCACACUGGGACUGAGACACGGCCCAGACUCCUACGGGAGGCAGCAGUGGGGAAUCUUGCGCAACGCGCGAAAGCGUGACGCAGCAAUGCCGCGUGAGUGAAGAAGGCCUUCGGGUUGUAAAGCUCUUUUGUCAGGGAAGAAAAGGGUUCGGCUAAUAUCCGGGCCUCAUGACGGUACCUGAAGAAUAAGCACCGGCUAACUACGUGCCAGCAGCCGCGGUAAUAAG
RNAcentral lists this ribosomal RNA (512 nucleotides) under uncultured bacterium. RNAcentral's name for it is "bacterial SSU rRNA". It matches the Rfam family "Bacterial small subunit ribosomal RNA", at positions 1 to 527 of the family's 1533-position model. The record is from RNAcentral.